This is a long non-coding RNA of Onychostoma macrolepis, 862 nucleotides long. RefSeq lists it as uncharacterized. The transcript has 6 exons. The record is from RefSeq and is a predicted model, not a curated record. Lineage: Eukaryota; Metazoa; Chordata; Actinopteri; Cypriniformes; Cyprinidae.
CUUAAAUGUACAUCUCAGAUGAUUAAAAAAAUAAAUCAAUAGAAUAGAUAUAAAUGUAACUUUGACUAUUUGACACCUCACGUGCAAAGCCCGCGAAAGAACCAGAGGUUAUAUAAGCUGCGGUCGUCACGUGACGCGCACAGCCGGACUCUGAGUGGACAUCGCCUGACCGGAGAGCUUUCACGAGAUUGUCAUCCGAUUGUUCUGCUGCACCCCAAAGGCUCCACAGCACUUGUCACAAGUCUUUGGCUUUAUUUGUCAAGAUCAUCUGAAAAGAGUUCACCUGUGCCAUUGAGCUGGAUGGAGAAACAGAAGUUUAUAAACUGAAGGCAUGGAAGAAGACAAACAACAAAGAAAUUCUUCUUAAGGAUAAACCUGAGGUCCUGGGAGAUCUUAGAGGUUCUAAUGUGUUUUUUAUGCAUUUGUUGAUGUCAAUUUUUCAAUAAUAAAUUCUCAUAUUUUUUACAUUUAUGUUGUCAUUCUUAUUGGGGGGUAUUGAGAGGGAAACUGCACGUGUGUGUGUGUAAUAUUUGUGGAAACAACUGUUAACAAAUAAAGGAGGAAGUCUUUAAUAAUACAUUUUUUGUAUUUUUUAGAGAAUCAAUGAAUUACAUGAACAGUUCUUAUCCAUGUAGGCUAUAUAGCAAACAAGCUAAUAUUGUUUUGGUAAAUUUUGUUGUUAUUAAUUAAAUAAAUAUUGGUUUGUAUUUCAUAUACAUUACCAUUUGGUAUCCAGACUCGGGCCAGUACUGGCUAAUUGUAUAAUCUAUGCUGGCGUGAUUGCGGCCCUAUGCCGGCAGUGUCCAGGGCCGGAGUGGGAUCCAUUUUCAGCCCGUGAGUGUAAUGCUCAAGACCAGCCCAC